GGAAAGGAUAAAGUGCCAGUGCCUUGCUGGAUGUCACUGGGAAGGGGUGCACACAGAGCUUAAGGGAAGGGGCUGUGAUAUGCUCCGACAUGUCAUAGGUGACAUGUGAUGUGGGCAAGGAGACAAGGGAGGGCAUGAAAAACAGCUGCAAAAAGUCUUGGGAGUCCUUGGAUAUUGUAAGAGAAUUCUCACCCGCAAAUUUUAAUAAAGGCAACUGCAAAAGCCAGAAAAUAGCCUUUGUGAAAAUGCUGCUGAGAUUUAGAGCACCAAAGCAAUCUCAUUAUCAGUUUACAUCCCCAGUAGGAAAUCAGAGAUUGUUCAGCACAUCAAACAGUGGAGUGGGGGCAUGUAAUGUGCAGCCCAAGGGCCAGAUGGGACCUGCUGAGUCACACAAUGUGAUCUCCAGCUGCCCUCUGCCUGUAUCUGAGGGAUGGGGACAGAGCAGCAGAGCUGCUGCCUGGGGCUGCUAAUGAGCUUGACCCACCAGACACUAUUUUCCAUCUGCAUGCCAAAUAUGGUUAUAUGCACUCAGAAUAAAUGUCUAAUGUUUAUAUACA
Molecule: long non-coding RNA, 557 nt
Filed under: Cyanistes caeruleus (blue tit)
Lineage: Eukaryota; Metazoa; Chordata; Aves; Passeriformes; Paridae
Description: lncRNA (ENSCCEG00000000875.1)
Source: RNAcentral